Molecule: ribosomal RNA, 253 nt
Filed under: uncultured bacterium
Lineage: Bacteria
Description: partial 16S ribosomal RNA
Rfam family: Bacterial small subunit ribosomal RNA
Source: RNAcentral
UACGAAGGGGGCUAGCGUUGUUCGGAAUCACUGGGCGUAAAGCGCGCGUAGGCGGAUUGCCCAGUCAGGGGUGAAAGCCCGGGGCCCAACCCCGGAAUUGCCUUUGAAACUGGCAGUCUAGAAUCUCGGAGGGGGUAGUGGAAUUCCAAAUGUAGGGGUGAAAUCCGUAGAUAUUUGGAGGAACACCGGUGGCGAAGGCGGCUACCUGGACGAGUAUUGACGCUGAGGUGCGAAAGCGUGGGGAGCAAACAGG